CCUGGAGGAAAGGAAAUCAACCGAGACUCCGUCAGUAGCGGCGAGCGAAAGCGGAUUUAGCCCAAACCAGACUUCGGUCUGGGGUUGCGGGCGCUGACAAGGAGUUACAAAGGCAGCACCAGUUGAAGGGUCUGAAAAGUCCCACCACAGAAGGUGAUAGUCCUGUAGGCAAAUGUGCCUGCCCUCCGUUACGGUCAGCGUACCAGAGUAGCAUGGAGCUCGUGGAACUCUGUGUGAAGCUGGGGGGCCCACCCUCCAAGGCUAAGUACUCCUCGACAACCGAUAGUGGAAAGUAGCGCGAGCGAACGAUGAAAAGAACCCUUACUAAGGGAGUUAAAAGGACCUGAAACCAUACACUUACACAGCUGUGGGAGCCCUAUGCCCUCCGGGGAAUGGGUGACCGCGUGCCUUUCGCAUAAUGAGCCGGCGAGUUGCCAUUUGCGGCAAGGUUAAGCACUUCAGGUGCGUAGCCGAAGCGAAAGCGAGUCUGAACAGGGCGCAUGAGUCGCAGGUGGUAGACGCGAAACCACGUGAUCAACCCAUGGCCAGGUGGAAGGGGAUGUAAAAAUCCCUGGACGACCGAACCCGUUAACGUUGAAAAGUUAUGGGAUGAGCUGUGGAGAGGAGUAAAAGUCUAAUCAAACUUGGAGAUAGCUCGUUCUCUCCGAAAUAGCUUUAGGGCUAGCCUCGCGUGUUCCCUGUUGGGGGUAGAGCUACUGAUUGAGGAUAAGGGGCUACCCGCCUACUUACCUCUACCAAACUCCGAAUACCAACAGGCCAAACGUGGGAGUCAGUCUGCGGGGGAUAACCUUCGUGGUCGAGAGGGAAAGAACCCAGACCGCCAGCUAAGGUCCCGAAUUUCGUGCUUAGUUACUAAGGAAGUCUGAUUGCUGUGACAAUCAGGAUGUUGGCUUAGAAGCAGCCACCAUUUAAAAAGUGCGUAAUAGCUUACUGAUCGAGCAGUUGGGUGCCGAUAAUGAACGGGAAUAAGCAUAGAACCGAAGCUGCGGAUGCCUUCUUCGGAAGGCGUGGUAGGAGAGCGUAGCAGCCAGCGCCGAAGCGGUACGGUAACGAGCCGUGGAGCGGCUGCUAGUGAUUAUGCCGGCAUGAGUAACGAUAAAACAGGUGAGAAUCCUGUUCGCCGAAAGCCUAAGGUUUCCUGGGGAAGGUAAAUCCGCCCAGGGUUAGUCGGGUCCUUAGUCGAGGCCGAAGGGCGUAGACGAUGGGCAGCAGGUUAAUAUUCCUGCACCAUGUUGCUGGACAAAGUCAGUGACGCAUCUUCAAGGGUCAUCCCACGGCUAGUAGGGUGGGUCCCGCAAGGGCGAGGCCGAUUUAUGAUGCCGAAGUGGCUGGAGAAGAUGCCGAGAAAUAGCUGGCGUAGGUUGAAAGCAGCAUGUCCGUACCGCAAACUGACACAGGUAGGCGAGGAGAGUAUCCUCAGGCGCUCGAGAGAACCGUCCUUAAGGAACUAGGCAAUUUUCCCCCGUACGUUCGCAAGAAGGGGUCCCUCCGCAUGUGCUUGAUUUAUCAGGUACAUGGCGAGGGCGCAGAGAAAUGGCUCUGGCGACUGUUUAUCAAAAACACAGUUCUGUGCUAACUCCGAAAGAGGAUGUAUACAGAAUGACGCCUGCUCGGUGCCGGAAGGUUAAGGGGAGGGGUUAGCCGCAAGGCGAAGCUCUAAACUGAAGCCCCGGUAAACGGCGGCCGUAACUAUGACGGUCCUAAGGUAGCGAAGUUCCUUGUCGGGUAAGUUCCGACGUGCAUGAACGGCGUAACGACUGGAGCAGUGUCUCAAAGACCGACUCGGUGAAAUUGUAGUUGUAGUGAAGAUACUACGUACCCGCGGCAAGACGGCAAGACCCCGUGAACCUUUACUGUAGCCUGGUAUUGACGCCUGGCAUAUCAUGCGUAGGAUAGGUGGGAGGCUGUGAAGCGGUGCUUCCGGGCAUCGCAGAGCCAACCUUGAAAUACCACCCUUGGUAUGUUAGUCGCCUAACCGUGACCCGUGAAUCCGGGCAUGGGACCGUGCUAGGUGGGCAGUUUGACUGGGGCGGUCUCCUCCUAAAGCGUAACGGAGGAGUUCAAAGGUACCCUCAGCGUGGUUGGCAAUCACGCAAAGAGCGUAAAGGUAAAAGGGUGCUUGACUGUGAGACUGAUAGGUCGAGCAGAUGCGAAAGCAGGACUUAGUGAUCCGGUGGUUCCGUGUGGAAGGGCCAUCGCUCAACGGAUAAAAGGUACUCCGGGGAUAACAGGCUGA
RNAcentral lists this ribosomal RNA (2257 nucleotides) under activated sludge metagenome. RNAcentral describes it as "bacterial LSU rRNA". It matches the Rfam family "Bacterial large subunit ribosomal RNA", at positions 209 to 2485 of the family's 2925-position model. The record is from RNAcentral.